AAAAAAUUAGUUAAGUUAUUAUAACAUUAGAUUGUCAAGCUAAAAUAAUCAGAUUGAUAUUUUUUU
Molecule: transfer RNA, 66 nt
Filed under: Euphyllodromia sp. Z257
Lineage: Eukaryota; Metazoa; Arthropoda; Insecta; Blattodea; Pseudophyllodromiidae
Description: tRNA-Asp
Source: RNAcentral